Long non-coding RNA from Mus musculus (house mouse), 2386 nucleotides. RefSeq annotates it as predicted gene, 33586. The transcript is spliced from 8 exons. The record is from RefSeq and is a predicted model, not a curated record. Lineage: Eukaryota; Metazoa; Chordata; Mammalia; Rodentia; Muridae.
UGGGAGGCUGGGAGGCUGGGAGGCUGGGAGGCUGGAGAGGCUGGGGCUCCUCACUUCCCUCUUCGGUUGCGCUCAAUUCCUAGACUCCGGGCCCAGAUGGCUCUUCCAACAAACACUCUAAGCACUGAGGGCUUUCCUCCUCUGCUUCUUUUCUUUUUAAUAUUCACCCAGAACUUUCGUGGGGAAAGAAAAAGAAAAGAAAAGAAAAAAAAAACAACAGAAAAACAAACACUUCUGAGUGCUUUCAGUCUCAAACAAAGCUUAAUACAUUAGUUGGCAGGAAAUCCAGGGUGGAAUUUGCCAUUAAUCUGUAGUAAGGCAACCCUUCAAACACCCGCACUGAACAAUCAAACACUUUUAAAUGUCAUUCCUCAACAAAAGCGUGCAUUGUCCCUGGAGAUGCCCCGGUGGCACUAACCUUUCCAGAAUGGGGAGAAUAAAUCUCUUCACUUCUCAGGUUGAGUGCUAAACGGAACUUUCUAGAGUUUCUCACCACCAGGCCUCCUGCAGGCACAUUUCAGCUCAAGGAGUCUCUUAAUGGACCAGCUUUUCUCCUCUGGUGGUGUUUUAUAUGCAGCUCUCUCUCUCUCUCUCUCUCUCUCUCUCUCUCUCUCUCUCUCUCUCUCUCUCUCUCUGUUGGGUGUGUACACAUCUGUGCCUUCUUUUCAAAAAACUGAAAUUGUUCUUCAUGAUGCCAAAGACAAGUAGAAAGUUCACCCUUCAACCCCCAUGCCUCUCGGCCUCUGGAAUGGGAUAGUUAAGAUUUAUCGAGCACUUGUUAUGCACCAGAGGCUGUUGUCUCAAUCCACAGCACACUACAGGUCUGCUUGCUGAUUCCACUCUCUAGACCAUGGUUUUGCAGCUGAUGUUCCAGUGCUGUAUUGCUAUUGUUGUUGUUACUUUGUUGCUGUGACAAAUGACCCGACAGAGAAGACUCAAAGAAAAGCACUUUCUUUGGGUUCCCAGUUUGGGGGUAGAAUCCACCAUGGCUAGAAAAGUGAUGUGACAGAAGUAUAAGGGCUGGCUGGCUGGCUUGGAGGUUAAGAGAAUUUGCUGGUUUUUCUGGAGGAAGUGAGUUGGCGUCCCAGCACCCAUGUCAAGUGAUUCACAACCUCCUGUGUCCCCAGCUAUAGAGGAGCUGACAGCCAUUAAAGGUAGGCUGUGGCAAGGGGGAAUUGUACUUCCAAGUCUCUUCUUGAGAAAGACUGAAUCAUUCCACAGCUUCAGGUAGGUUGCAGAUCCUUCCAGACAUGUUACUCAUGGGAAGCCAUCUUCCUCGAGAUCACACAUUCCACAGUUACCCAGACAAAGAGCACCUACUGAGGAAUUUCCUAUGAACCACUGUUUGAACUUGUCCCCCAGGAUAUGAAGCCAGAGGUGCAACUAGUCAGAAAAGGCAGAGGCUGAGCUUAGGAAAGCUUCAAGUGAUACAGGACUUCCUUUGGAUCAAGUCAAACCUCUGCAAGCCCAGAUCAACUACUGUGAAGCAGCCAGGCUAAGCAGCCGCACUGUGGAAAGCAGCCUCGGCACAAAGCAGGGCAGGCACAGUUUUGAAUCCAGCGUCACCUGCUUGCAGCAUAACUUCUCAGAAAAGCAUCUUCUGUCAAGCAGCUCGGAACACAGAAUCACCGGUAGCUCCCAAGGGCUGGAGAGACCUACCCCUUCCUCCCAAGCUCUGGGAUUAAAGCUACUCACCACCACAGCAGGCUUUAAGUGCUCUAAGAGUCCAGAACAAACCCCGAAAAGUAACUCUUGGGUUUUUGGCAGAGGAAGUCUCCUGAAUGGAAAAGUGAGGCGCCUUUAGUUACAGAUCAACCUUCAUGGGAAAUGCUUGACGGAAACUUUAUGGCUCCUAUCCCUCUCCAGCCCUUGGACCGACCGCAGUGCUACAGUGACCCAUGAUGCCAUGCAGCUGAGUCACCCGGAGAUGCUGCUGUACAUCAAAGGGCAGAGAAGCAGGUCCCGGGGAGUCUCUAGCCCUCCCUGCACGUCAUCCCUUUGCUUGUACAAGCACAUCCAUCUCACCUGGUGAUGUCACUGCCCUGGAUUCAUAUGAGCCACAGAGAGCAGCUGAUGACAGGACUCCUAGGCAAGGGAGGGGGACUUCUGUCUGAUGUCACUUCAAAGAGAGGUGAGUUUUAUAGGUAAACCUGUGUGUGGCUCUCCUGAGACAAAGGUCACCUGGUUCCACAUAGUAUUGGAAGAGGGCAAAGAGAGAGGAUAGAAUUUCUGGCUGAAGCAAAGGGGAGGCUGCACCUCUCACGUUCACUCCAAAGGAGACAAACUCUUUCCUAAGAUGAGAUCACCCAGCAUGCUCAGCAAGGUGCUAAAAAAUAAUUGCCCUCAAUGAAGACAUACAAAUAAAUCAUUGUGCUUGGCAGCCAAA